This 57-nucleotide ribosomal RNA is filed under the name Gulbenkiania mobilis. RNAcentral's name for it is "partial 23S ribosomal RNA". Lineage: Bacteria; Pseudomonadati; Pseudomonadota; Betaproteobacteria; Neisseriales; Chromobacteriaceae. The record is from RNAcentral.
GAAGCGCUGUGAGGCGUUAAGCUAACCGAUACUAAUUGCUCGUGAGGCUUGAUCCUA